GUGGUAAAUUAGGAGGAGGAGGAGGAGGACGAGGAGGACGAGGAAGAGGAGGAGGAAGAAGAAAGGAAAGAAGAGGAAGAAGAGGAGUGGAAAAGGAGAAGGAGGAAGAGAAAAAGGAGGAAGGGGAAGAUGAAGAGGGGAGGAGGGAAAUAUGAAAAGGAAGCAGAAGAAAAGAAGGAUGAGUAGAAGAGGAACAUGGAAUUGGAAGAGGGAAAGAAGGACAAAAAGAAGAAGAAAAGAAGAAAAAGAAGAAGAAGGAGAAGAAGAAGAAGAAGAAGAGAAGAAAAGAAGGAGAAGAAGAGGAGGAAAAGAAGAAGAAAAGAAGGAAAAGAAGAAGAAGAAAAUGAAGAAGAAAGAAAGAAAUAUAAAAGGAAAGAAAAAAGAGGAAAAGUACAAAAGGGCGCCUUUUGUUGAUGGUGAUGAUUGCUGUGAACAUUCCCUCCACCAAGAACGAGACAAGACAACUUAGAACAUCCUCUGUGGCCCUGGAGGGCGAUAUGUGCUGCUCCUAUCUGCCGCCAUCACCACCACCAUCACCACCACCACCACCACCACCACCACCACCACCACCACCACCACCACCACCACGUUCUUCUUCCACCACUGUACCACACGCAACCUCCAACGACCACAGACAGACAGAUAGAUAGAUAGAUAGAUAGAUAGAUAGAUAGAUAGAUAUACAUUCAUUCAUACAUACAUACAUAGAAAGAUAGAUACAUAGAUAGAUAGAUAGACAGAGAGUUAAAUAUCUUUUUUAACAAUUUUUUUUCUAUGUAGGAGAGGUAACGGCCAAAUGCAACAAAGUUUAGGUAAAAAGGCCCACUGAGGCGUUAGUCCCUAGAAAGAGGUCAGAAACGAUCGUAAAAAAAACUGAAGGAUAAGUAAGUGUCUUGAAACCUCCCUCUUGAAAAAGUUCAAGUCAUAGGAAGGAGGAGAUACAGAAGUAGGCAGGGAGUUCCAGAGUUUACCAGAGAAAGGGAUGAAUGUUUGAGAAUACUGGUUUACUCUUGCAUUAGAAAGGUGAACAGAAUAGGCACGAGAGAAAAUAGAAGGUCUUGUACAUCGUGGCUGCUUGGGGAGGGAAGGCAUGCAGUUAACAAGAUCAGAAGAGCAGUUAGCGUGAAAAUAACAUUGCGGCGAUGAAAAAUAGGCUGAAGACAUUCAAUUAGAGGGGAGGAGCUGAUAAGACGAAGUGCUUUUGAUUCCAUUCUGUCUAAAAGAACAGUAUAAGUGGACACUCCCACAUACAUGUGAAGCAUACUCCAUACAUGGGGGAUAUGCACUCUGUACAGAGUUAGCAACUUGAGGUGUGAGGAAAAAUGGCGGAGACGACUCAACGUACUUAAAGAGCAAAACACACCACCACCACCAUUGUCGUGUGUGUGUGUGUGUGUGUGUGUGUGUGUGUGUGUGUGUGUGUGUGUUGUUUAAUAUUCACUAACGCGAUCAUUCUAAGUUUACUCCCACGAUCUGCAGCAUCACCGUUACCGAAGUAUCGCCAGGAGGAAAUGCAGAAGGAGGCAGGGAGUUCCAGAGUUAACUACCAAAGAGGAUGAAAGACAGAGGGUACCAGUUAACUCUUGCAUUAAGGAAGUGAGCAGAACAAGGGUGAAAAAAAAAAAACAGGCAAGGAGUUUAAGAGUUUACCAGAAAGACUGAGAUAUCUGGUUAACUCUUGCAUUAAGGAGCUGGGCAGGAUAGGACUUAGAAAGUUAAAAGCCUUGUACAGCGAGGCCGGGGGAGGAUAGCAAGAGAUGCAACAUUGUAGCGAAGAGAAAGAGAGAGAUUAAAGACAGUCAUUGAGAGGAAAGGAGUUGAUGAGAGAAAAUGUAAUACAGUAAUCCUACUCAUUCUUACAUCACCACUGCACCAACCACUGCACGUCCAAAUACACACCACCACCACCACCACCACCGCCGCCGCCACCACCACUACCACCACUACAGCUCUCAACCGUAAACAUUUUGUGGUUCCAUAUGAACUAUUUUUCAAAAGCCACCGAUAUUACUAAUUGAAUUUCCAUUAUGUUUUUCCCCACUGAUGAUGCAGGACCCUUGUCAGACUAUCAUUAGAAUAAGAAAAAACACCCUUGAAGAGCCCAGUAAAUCCCCUACGGUCUGUUAGAAGUUGUGGAGCUAAGAUUCCUAAAUGAUUAAGAAAACAAACCCUAUCCUCUUCAUAAUCACCGCGAGACCCCUACGUCCACAUCAUUCAAGUGUCCUAAGGGAUUUAACAAGGGUAGCAUAGAAAGGUCCUUGGCUUUAGUUCUCUGUAUAAGAUGAGAAGUAACGGGUUUGAGCUG
Scylla paramamosain (green mud crab) is the source of this 2305-nucleotide long non-coding RNA. RefSeq lists it as uncharacterized. NCBI's taxonomy places the organism in Eukaryota, Metazoa, Arthropoda, Malacostraca, Decapoda, Portunidae. The transcript is spliced from 3 exons. The record is from RefSeq and is a predicted model, not a curated record.